Molecule: ribosomal RNA, 301 nt
Filed under: uncultured bacterium
Lineage: Bacteria
Description: partial 16S ribosomal RNA
Rfam family: Bacterial small subunit ribosomal RNA
Source: RNAcentral
CAGCCGCCACGGUAAUACGUAGGUGGCGAGCGUUGUCCGGAAUUAUUGGGCGUAAAGGGAGCGCAGGCGGACAUAUAAGUCCAUCUUAAAAGUGCGGGGCUCAACCCCGUGAGGGGAUGGAAACUGUAUGCCUUGAGUGUAGGAGAGGAAAGCGGAAUUCCCAGUGUAGCGGUGAAAUGCGUAGAUAUUGGGAGGAACACCAGUGGCGAAGGCGGCUUUCUGGACUGUAACUGACGCUGAGGCUCGAAAGCCAGGGGAGCGAACGGGAUUAGAUACCCCAGUAGUCCCUGUCUCUUAUACA